GCCAGGCGUGGUGGCGCAUGCCUGUAAUCCCAGCUACUCGGGAGGCUGAGGCAGGAGAAUCGCUUAAACCCAGGAGGCCGAGACUGCGGUGAGCUGAGAUCGUGCCACUGCACUCCAGCCUGGGUAACAAGAGCGAAACUCAGUCUCCA
This is an unclassified non-coding RNA of Callithrix jacchus (white-tufted-ear marmoset), 149 nucleotides long. It matches the Rfam family "Metazoan signal recognition particle RNA". From Rfam's summary of the family: The signal recognition particle (SRP) is a universally conserved ribonucleoprotein. It is involved in the co-translational targeting of proteins to membranes. The eukaryotic SRP consists of a 300-nucleotide 7S RNA and six proteins: SRPs 72, 68, 54, 19, 14, and 9. The record is from Ensembl. Lineage: Eukaryota; Metazoa; Chordata; Mammalia; Primates; Cebidae.